This 754-nucleotide ribosomal RNA is filed under the name Acinetobacter sp. Its description in RNAcentral is "bacterial SSU rRNA". It matches the Rfam family "Bacterial small subunit ribosomal RNA", at positions 551 to 1305 of the family's 1533-position model. The record is from RNAcentral. Lineage: Bacteria; Pseudomonadati; Pseudomonadota; Gammaproteobacteria; Moraxellales; Moraxellaceae.
UUACUGGGCGUAAGCGUGCGUAGGCGGCUUCUUAAGUCGGAUGUGAAAUCCCUGAGCUUAACUUAGGAAUUGCAUUCGAUACUGGGAAGCUAGAGUAUGGGAGAGGAUGGUAGAAUUCCAGGUGUAGCGGUGAAAUGCGUAGAGAUCUGGAGGAAUACCGAUGGCGAAGGCAGCCAUCUGGCCUAAUACUGACGCUGAGGUACGAAAGCAUGGGGAGCAAACAGGAUUAGAUACCCUGGUAGUCCAUGCCGUAAACGAUGUCUACUAGCCGUUGGGGCCUUUGAGGCUUUAGUGGCGCAGCUAACGCGAUAAGUAGACCGCCUGGGGAGUACGGUCGCAAGACUAAAACUCAAAUGAAUUGACGGGGGCCCGCACAAGCGGUGGAGCAUGUGGUUUAAUUCGAUGCAACGCGAAGAACCUUACCUGGUCUUGACAUAGUAAGAACUUUCCAGAGAUGGAUUGGUGCCUUCGGGAACUUACAUACAGGUGCUGCAUGGCUGUCGUCAGCUCGUGUCGUGAGAUGUUGGGUUAAGUCCCGCAACGAGCGCAACCCUUUUCCUUAUUUGCCAGCGGGUUAAGCCGGGAACUUUAAGGAUACUGCCAGUGACAAACUGGAGGAAGGCGGGGACGACGUCAAGUCAUCAUGGCCCUUACGACCAGGGCUACACACGUGCUACAAUGGUCGGUACAAAGGGUUGCUACCUAGCGAUAGGAUGCUAAUCUCAAAAAGCCGAUCGUAGUCCGGAUUGGAGUC